RNAcentral lists this transfer RNA (77 nucleotides) under Alistipes indistinctus. RNAcentral describes it as "tRNA-Arg". It matches the Rfam family "tRNA". Rfam says of the family: Transfer RNA (tRNA) molecules are approximately 80 nucleotides in length. Their secondary structure includes four short double-helical elements and three loops (D, anti-codon, and T loops). The record is from RNAcentral. Lineage: Bacteria; Pseudomonadati; Bacteroidota; Bacteroidia; Bacteroidales; Rikenellaceae.
GGCACCGUAGCUUAGCUGAAUAGAGCAUCUGACUACGGAUCAGAAGGUCACAGGUUUGAAUCCUGUCGGUGUCACCA